Molecule: long non-coding RNA, 1659 nt
Filed under: Pocillopora damicornis (cauliflower coral)
Lineage: Eukaryota; Metazoa; Cnidaria; Anthozoa; Scleractinia; Pocilloporidae
Description: uncharacterized LOC113666979
Source: RNAcentral
UUUUUUAUGUGUCUUCUAGACAGUGAUUUAUUUGGAGUAAAAAACUAUCAAAAAGAAUGCAUUUAAAGAAGCUUUUGAACUUUCUCAGAUGCAAUAAUAGUGAGUGAUGCUUAAGAGAAACAAGAGGUAUUUUUUGUUAUUGUAGUCAGCCAUAUAAGAUGUUUCCUGUUCUCUCCUCUCUUCCCUUUUACUUUAGUCAUAUCCUGCAAAAAAACUCGCAUCUUUAGUAUUAUGGAAAAAAGGGGAAGAAAACAUUUUUAUAAAUUUAUAGUGAGGAUUCAUCAACAUGAAUUUAUUGUCGGUAUUCUUGAUGUCCAAAUCUACAUGAAUGAUGUGCAGUGUUAUUUCAGAUCUAUGGCAGUAUGCCACUAUCAUGUUACUUUUUUUGACCUAAUAAUAUUUUUGUUGUCUGUUUAUAGGAAGUGCAGAAUCUGAUGUCUUCCAAAGUUACAGCAACAAGGACUGACUGAAGAAAAGUCUCAAAGACAAAAGAGCGCAAAAGUAUGAAAAACCCUCUUAGUUUUUUCAUAAUUUUUUCAGUUGUUAUUUUAAAAUUUAGAAAUUCAAAUGCCAAUGCAUGUUGAAAAAUGGUGAAACUUUGGUCAUACAGCUGGAGAGAAGGAUGUAUUUGAUAGUGUGACUGUGGUUGACGAUGAGAAAAUGUUGAUAUGUUAUCGUUAAUAACGCCAUCACCCCUCCUGAGGUUUCUUACCUAAAUCUCUGCGAAAAACAGGGGGAAAAGCAGCCCAGGAGUGACAGAUUUCUCCUCUCAGAUAUGUUACACAGACAGAAACAAGGUUGUGGGUGGAUCAACUGUCUGAAAUGUUUCCAGAUUCCCCCAAACACCAGAUAGAAAUUGUUGUUCAGAGGCACAUGCAGAAACUGCUCUUUUGCAUGAAUUGCUGGAUAAGUUGCAGGAGGGAGAUGUUUCUAAAGUCCUUCACAACCAUCCUUCCUCUGAGUCCUUCUGGUCAGCAAUAAAUGCCUCUCACUGGCCAAUAACCAAGAAGAUAACAGAUAAGAAUAUGGCACAUCUUGUACAAAACCUACUGGUGACUGAAAUAAUUUCGUUCAGGAAGUUUGAGAUAGACUCAUUCGCUGAAGGUCUCAAGAAUUUGGAGUUCCUAGAUGCCACAAAGAACAACAAGGAAGUCUGCUUUAAGCUGCUUUGUAAUUCUAUUGAGCAAACCCUCACUCCUGAUGAAUUUAAUAAUCUCUUUGAUGCCAGUGUACAAAGGCCCUCUGACUUUGCCCAGCUACAUUCCUAUGACUGGUUCAUGGAUUAUGUAAUGCUGGUGAGGAGAAACUCGUAUGUCUGCUGCAGUUCAUUACUGGCUUUCAAUCAAUUCCACCUUAUGGUCUCCCUCACAACAUUGUGCUAAUAUAUAUUCCUGAUGAUGAUGAGAAAGCUUCCAUGCCAUAAGCAACUGUACACCUGGCGAUGUUACAGCUCCCAAAAAUUCAUUCCCCAGAGAAUAAUUUCAAUUAAAGCUUGGAUAUUGCCUUAAAGUUUGAAAGCCAGAGGUUUCCUACUGUUUAGCACCUUUGUAACUCAAAGCAAAGGAAAUAUCAGUGAACUGCAGUUUUCUGAAAACGCUUUAAGUUGGCUGUAUUGAUUUGUAGUUGUUCUCUUGUUUGUUUUGAUGCAUUACAUAGAAC